UNUUAAAAGUUCGGGGCUUAACCCCGNGAUGGGAUGGAAACUGCUGAUCUAGAGUNUCGGAGAGGAAAGUGGAAUUCCUAGUGUAGCGGUGAAAUGCGUAGAUAUUAGGAAGAACACCAGUGGCGAAGGCGACUUUCUGGACGAAAACUGACGCUGAGGCGCGAAAGCCAGGGGAGCGAACGGGAUUAAAUACCCCGGUAGUCCUGGCCGUAAACGAUGGGUACUAGGUGUAGGAGGUAUCGACCCCUUCUGUGCCGGAGUUAACGCAAUAAGUACCCCGCCUGGGGAGUACGACCGCAAGGUUGAAACUCAAAGGAAUUGACGGGGGCCCGCACAAGCGGUGGAGUAUGUGGUUUAAUUCGACGCAACGCGAAGAACCUUACCAGGUCUUGACAUUGAUGGACAGAACUAGAGAUAGUUCCUCUUCUUCGGAAGCCAGAAAACAGGUGGUGCACGGUUGUCGUCAGCUCGUGUCGUGAGAUGUUGGGUUAAGUCCCGCAACGAGCGCAACCCCUAUCUUAUGUUGCCAGCACUUUGGGUGGGAACUCAUGAGAGACUGCCGCAGACAAUGCGGAGGAAGGCGGGGAUGACGUCAAAUCAUCAUGCCCCUUAUGACCUGGGCUACACACGUACUACAAUGGGAGUUAAUAGACGGAAGCAAUACCGCGAGGUGGAGCAAACCCGAGAAACACUCUCUCAGUUCGGAUCGUAGGCUGCAACUCGCCUACGUGAAGUCGGAAUCGCUAGUAAUCGCAGGUCAGCAUACUGCGGUGAAUACGUUCCCGGGCCUUGUACACACCGCCCGUCACACCACGAAAGUCGGAAGUGCCCAAAGCCGGUGGGGUANCCUUCGGGA
RNAcentral lists this ribosomal RNA (856 nucleotides) under uncultured bacterium. Its description in RNAcentral is "bacterial SSU rRNA". It matches the Rfam family "Bacterial small subunit ribosomal RNA", at positions 592 to 1447 of the family's 1533-position model. The record is from RNAcentral.